CCUACGGGAGGCCGCAGUGGGGAAUAUUGGACAAUGGGCGAAAGCCUGAUCCAGCCAUGCCGCGUGUGUGAAGAAGGCCUUCGGGUUGUAAAGCACUUUCAGUGGGGAAGAAAGCCUUGGGGCUAAUACCCUCGAGGAAGGACAUCACCCACAGAAGAAGCACCGGCUAACUCCGUGCCAGCAGCCGCGGUAAUACGGAGGGUGCGAGCGUUAAUCGGAAUUACUGGGCGUAAAGCGCGCGUAGGCGGUCUGAUAAGCCGGUUGUGAAAGCCCCGGGCUCAACCUGGGAACGGCAUCCGGAACUGUCAGGCUAGAGUGCAGGAGAGGAAGGUAGAAUUCCCGGUGUAGCGGUGAAAUGCGUAGAGAUCGGGAGGAAUACCAGUGGCGAAGGCGGCCUUCUGGACUGACACUGACGCUGAGGUGCGAAAGCGUGGGUAGCAAACAGGAUUAGAUACCCCAGUAGUC
RNAcentral lists this ribosomal RNA (465 nucleotides) under Vreelandella stevensii. Its description in RNAcentral is "partial 16S ribosomal RNA". It matches the Rfam family "Bacterial small subunit ribosomal RNA", at positions 338 to 795 of the family's 1533-position model. The record is from RNAcentral. Lineage: Bacteria; Pseudomonadati; Pseudomonadota; Gammaproteobacteria; Oceanospirillales; Halomonadaceae.